GGCCACUUGGUGAAAUUGGCAGACACGCAAGACUUAGGAUCUUGUGCCGCAAGGCGUCGGGGUUCAACUCCCCGAGUGGCCA
RNAcentral lists this transfer RNA (82 nucleotides) under Planctomycetota bacterium. Its description in RNAcentral is "tRNA-Leu". It matches the Rfam family "tRNA". From Rfam's summary of the family: Transfer RNA (tRNA) molecules are approximately 80 nucleotides in length. Their secondary structure includes four short double-helical elements and three loops (D, anti-codon, and T loops). Further hydrogen bonds mediate the characteristic L-shaped molecular structure. tRNAs have two regions of fundamental functional importance: the anti-codon, which is responsible for specific mRNA codon recognition, and the 3' end, to which the tRNAs corresponding amino acid is attached (by aminoacyl-tRNA synthetases). tRNAs cope with the degeneracy of the genetic code in two manners: having more than one tRNA (with a specific anti-codon) for a particular amino acid; and 'wobble' base-pairing, i.e. permitting non-standard base-pairing at the 3rd anti-codon position. Lineage: Bacteria; Pseudomonadati; Planctomycetota. The record is from RNAcentral.